This 465-nucleotide ribosomal RNA is filed under the name Vreelandella stevensii. RNAcentral's name for it is "partial 16S ribosomal RNA". It matches the Rfam family "Bacterial small subunit ribosomal RNA", at positions 338 to 795 of the family's 1533-position model. The record is from RNAcentral. Lineage: Bacteria; Pseudomonadati; Pseudomonadota; Gammaproteobacteria; Oceanospirillales; Halomonadaceae.
CCUACGGGAGGCUGCAGUGGGGAAUAUUGGACAAUGGGCGAAAGCCUGAUCCAGCCAUGCCGCGUGUGUGAAGAAGGCCUUCGGGUUGUAAAGCACUUUCAUUGGGGAAGAAAGCCUUGGGGCUAAUACCCUCGAGGAAGGACAUCACCCACAGAAGAAGCACCGGCUAACUCCGUGCCAGCAGCCGCGGUAAUACGGAGGGUGCGAGCGUUAAUCGGAAUUACUGGGCGUAAAGCGCGCGUAGGCGGUCUGAUAAGCCGGUUGUGAAAGCCCCGGGCUCAACCUGGGAACGGCAUCCGGAACUGUCAGGCUAGAGUGCAGGAGAGGAAGGUAGAAUUCCCGGUGUAGCGGUGAAAUGCGUAGAGAUCGGGAGGAAUACCAGUGGCGAAGGCGGCCUUCUGGACUGACACUGACGCUGAGGUGCGAAAGCGUGGGUAGCAAACAGGAUUAGAUACCCGAGUAGUC